This 433-nucleotide ribosomal RNA is filed under the name uncultured bacterium. RNAcentral's name for it is "partial 16S ribosomal RNA". It matches the Rfam family "Bacterial small subunit ribosomal RNA", at positions 29 to 507 of the family's 1533-position model. The record is from RNAcentral.
AACGAACGCUGGCGGCAGGCUUAACACAUGCAAGUCGAACGCACCUUUCGGGGUUAGUGGCCGACGGGUGAGUAACGCGUGGGAAUCUACCCUUCUCUACGGGAUAGCUCCGGGAAACUGGAAUUAAUACCGUAUACGUCCUGAGGGAGAAAGAUUUAUCGGGGAAGGAUGAGCCCGCGUUGGAUUAGCUAGUUGGUGGGGUAAAGGCCUACCAAGGCGACGAUCCAUAGCUGGUCUAAGAGGAUGAUCAGCCACAUUGGGACUGAGACACGGCCCAAACUCCUACGGGAGGCAGCAGUGGGGAAUAUUGGAAAAUGGGCGCAAGCCUGAUCCAGCCAUGCCGCGUGAGUGAUGAAGGCCCUAGGGUUGUAAAGCUCUUUCAGUGGGGACGAUAAUGACGGUACCCACAGAAGAAGCCCCGGCUAACUUCGUG